Molecule: ribosomal RNA, 508 nt
Filed under: uncultured bacterium
Lineage: Bacteria
Description: partial 16S ribosomal RNA
Rfam family: Bacterial small subunit ribosomal RNA
Source: RNAcentral
GAUGAACGCUAGCUACAGGCUUAACACAUGCAAGUCGAGGGGCAGCAUGAAGUUUUCUUCGGAAGACUUUGAUGGCGACCGGCGCACGGGUGAGUAACGCGUAUCGAACCUGCCUCAUACUCGGGAAUAGCCUUGCGAAAGUAAGAUUAAUGCCCGAUGUUCUUGGGGUUCCGCAUGAGGGGACAAGCAAAGAUUCCUUGGUAUAAGAUGGCGAUGCGUCCCAUUAGCGUGUUGGCGGGGUAACGGCCCACCAAGGCAUCGAUGGGUAGGGGUUCUGAGAGGAAGGUCCCCCACAUUGGAACUGAGACACGGUCCAAACUCCUACGGGAGGCAGCAGUGAGGAAUAUUGGUCAAUGGACGGAAGUCUGAACCAGCCAAGUAGCGUGCAGGAAGACGGCCCUCCGGGUUGUAAACUGCUUUUAGUUGGGAAUAAAACGCGGGACGUGUCCCGCCUUGUAUGUACCAUCAGAAAAAGGACCGGCUAAUUCCGUGCCAGCCGCCGCGGUAA